This 262-nucleotide long non-coding RNA is filed under the name Brassica napus (rape). Its description in RNAcentral is "long non-coding RNA (BNAP_LNC019130)". Lineage: Eukaryota; Viridiplantae; Streptophyta; Magnoliopsida; Brassicales; Brassicaceae. The record is from RNAcentral.
UAUUACAUUUUCCAAAGAUCGGGAAAUGAUCCAUACAGAAUCUGUGGGACCAAGGUUAAGUACUAGCUUCAGAAUCACGACAAUAUUCCCUAAUCUCACAAAAAAGGAAACCGAGCCAUUCCCAAGACCACCAAUCUCACCACUAAAACCAAAUCAAGAGAAAACUUCAUACCUCCAAUUUCCCAGACCAUAACAAAUCCAAACUCAAUUGCCUUUGAAACCAAUCACACCGUAACCUUUCCCAAUCCACCCACAUCGUAUC